RNAcentral lists this ribosomal RNA (21 nucleotides) under Frullania sp. B BlS-2016. Its description in RNAcentral is "partial 5.8S ribosomal RNA". The record is from RNAcentral. Lineage: Eukaryota; Viridiplantae; Streptophyta; Jungermanniopsida; Porellales; Frullaniaceae.
AAAUGGAUCUCAGCACCGGAA